Musa acuminata AAA Group (dessert banana) is the source of this 1132-nucleotide long non-coding RNA. RefSeq lists it as uncharacterized. Lineage: Eukaryota; Viridiplantae; Streptophyta; Magnoliopsida; Zingiberales; Musaceae. The record is from RefSeq and is a predicted model, not a curated record. The transcript is spliced from 3 exons.
GAUGGAAGUCUUCCCCACCAUGAAUGGGCCGUAUAAGAGGAAGUAGCAAAGCCCAUCAUCAUCACCAUCAUCAUCAUGCACAUUGUGGGAUCGUUGUUGCUGCUUCCGACAAAUUUUAUUUAUGAUUUUUUCUACAUCUUCUUCGUCUCUUCCCACCACCUCUUCUCUCAAGAUGGUGAAGUACUCUUCUUUUUUGUCUUCUUCUUCUCGUCGUGGAUAUGUAGAAUCCAUAAUCUCCUUUCGAAGGCAUAGCGAAGACCCUCUCCUCACGAGGUAAUUCAACCUGCUUGCCUUAUGCUCCAUCUCUAGUAGAAUAGCAUGGCGAGAUGCUACUUCGGGGAAGGAGCACGGCAGGAGGUUGGAUGCCGCCGCUCCCUUGGGUUGCCAGCCCAGGAUGCUGCGGAGCAGGUCUUCCACGUCCGCGACGGCUAUCCCGACGUCGUUCGCCCACUCCUCCACCUCCGGCUCCUUCAACGCUCUUAUCUGGGCAUCCAUGAUCACCGCAUAGAGGGCCCAGAUGCAAUCAUGAACCAUCUCCAGUAUGUCGGGUGGGAGUCUUGGAAUUCGCUCGCUUCUCCAUUUAGUAGAGCUCAAUAGUACUCUUGGCAUCGGACUUAACCAUCGAACGCACGCGACCACGAGGACGUACCUGAUAGAUAGAAGAUAAGAUUUUCCUAUUCUGUUGAGGAAAAUCCUCUCUUAUAAAUAGGAGAGGGAUAUGUUAAUUUGCACGCAAGAAUAAAGGGCAUCACCGUCUCCAAAUUGGAAGGAUUCCAAAGGUUGUGCCACUAAUACCACCAACACACUCUUGGAAUCUACCUUACCGUCGGCACAAGAAACAAAUCAAGAAUCUCCAUCGUCCCAAGCAAGCUCCCAGUUAGUUAGUCGCUUUAUUGUUCUCCAUGGUCUUCUUUCCGCGGCUUUCAUGCGAACAGAAUUCUCGAUCUCAUGCAAGCUGUGAAGGAAAAGCUAUAAAGAAGAGGUUGUCGGAUGCAAGAUCACUUCAAUUAAUUUAUCGCAAAGGAUAAAAGUAGAUUGUUGUUGAACUCUUUGUAUUUUUGUUGAUUCAAUCCGACCUCCAUACUGUAUGAUGAAGGAUCCAUCCGGUAGAAAUACAUAUAAUAUAUAGUUU